This 122-nucleotide ribosomal RNA is filed under the name Nicotiana attenuata. Its description in RNAcentral is "rRNA SSU_rRNA_eukarya". It matches the Rfam family "Eukaryotic small subunit ribosomal RNA", at positions 987 to 1112 of the family's 1831-position model. The record is from RNAcentral. Lineage: Eukaryota; Viridiplantae; Streptophyta; Magnoliopsida; Solanales; Solanaceae.
AAGUUGGGGGCUCGAAGACGAUCAGAUACCGUCCUUAAACCAUAAACUAUGCCGACCAGGGAUCGGCGGAUGUUGCUUUUAGGACUCCGCCGGCACCUUAUGAGAAAUCAAGGUUUUUGGGU